GUCUACAGCCAUGCCACCCUGAACAUGCUCAAUCUCGUCUGAUCUCGGAAGCUAAGCAGGGUCAGUACUUAGAUGGGAGAGCACCUUGGAAUACCAAGUGUUGUAGGCG
This 109-nucleotide ribosomal RNA is filed under the name Pteropus alecto (black flying fox). Lineage: Eukaryota; Metazoa; Chordata; Mammalia; Chiroptera; Pteropodidae. The record is from RNAcentral.